CCAAUAGCGUAUAUUAGUGUUGUUGCGGUUAAAAAGCUCGUAGUUGAAUUUCGGGAUUGGAAUAUAUCGGUCAUGCCUUUAGGGGCAUGAAUCGGUGUGUAGCCAAUUUCUCACCUUCUGGUGAAUUGGGAUGCUCUUGGGUGUUUCAAUGAACUAGGACUUUUACUUUGAAAAAAAUAUAGUGUUUAAAGCGGGCAUUUUUGCUUGAAUACAUUAGCAUGGAAUAAUAAAAUAGGACGAUGGUUCUAUUUUGUUGGUUUUAGGACCACGUAAUGAUUAAUAGUGAUAGUUGGGGGCAUUAGUAUUCAAUAGUCAGAGGUGAAAUUCUUGGAUUUAUUGAGGACUAACUACUGCGAAAGCAUUUGCCAAGGAUGUUUUCAUUAAUCAAGAACGAAAGUUAGGGGAUCGAAGACGAUUUAUGUACGUCGUAGUCUUAACCACAAACUAUGCCGACUAGGAAUCAGACAAAGUUCAUUUUUUAACGACUUGUUUGGUACCUUACG
RNAcentral lists this ribosomal RNA (503 nucleotides) under uncultured Entrophospora. RNAcentral describes it as "SSU rRNA". It matches the Rfam family "Eukaryotic small subunit ribosomal RNA", at positions 591 to 1092 of the family's 1831-position model. Lineage: Eukaryota; Fungi; Glomeromycota; Glomeromycetes; Entrophosporales; Entrophosporaceae. The record is from RNAcentral.